GCUUGCUAUGGAAGAUAUUUGCUAUUAUCAAUGGCCUCUGCCUGGGUUGGAUCAGGUUUUGUAUAUAUUCAUGGCAUUCCUUCAAUAUUUUGUUUCUCACAAUUAUAUAGGGAGUGGAGCUAACCCACUUCAAUGCCCAAUUUGCAGUUUGGGCUAUUUAGUAUCUGCGAUGGGGCUGCUAAAUCCGCAAGCAAACUUUUUCCUGAGAUAAUUUCUAAUAUAUUAUUGGAUUCAUAAAAAAGGGAGCGGAUUUUAUCACUUCAUGAUGCUUCAGAAAUUCUAAGAGAUGCAUUUUCUCAAACAGAAGCAUGCUUGAAUCAUUACUGAGAUUAAAGCCACCAUCAGGGUCUGCUGUGCCUAUUGCAGAGUACAUUCCAGGUCAAGAAUCAGGAGUUAGGGUCAAAUUGAUGUCCUAUAUCCUAUAUGUUAGCAU
Molecule: long non-coding RNA, 433 nt
Organism: Arachis duranensis
Lineage: Eukaryota; Viridiplantae; Streptophyta; Magnoliopsida; Fabales; Fabaceae
Exons: 3
Source: RefSeq, a predicted model, not a curated record